Molecule: unclassified non-coding RNA, 298 nt
Filed under: Phylloporus sp.
Lineage: Eukaryota; Fungi; Basidiomycota; Agaricomycetes; Boletales; Boletaceae
Description: partial contains small subunit ribosomal RNA, internal transcribed spacer 1, and 5.8S ribosomal RNA
Rfam family: Eukaryotic small subunit ribosomal RNA (bases 1-46)
Source: RNAcentral
AAGUCGUAACAAGGUUUCCGUAGGUGAACCUGCGGAAGGAUCAUUAACAAAUCCACAUUCUUUGAACCAUUUGUGAACCGACCUGAGAAGGUGGGUGGAUGGGCGGCGCAUAGCUGCGCGCCUGUCUGUCUGUCUUUUCUGGGUAUGCUGUGCUGCUAGUUAUAUAGCUGUAAGGAGUAGGGCUGUGGCUUUGCUUUGCGCGGUAUAACAACAACACAACACAUAUAAACUAUUAAACUUGUCUAACUUGAGAAACAAUAAUUUUAAACAACUUUUAACAGUGGAUCUCUUGGCUCUU